CCCCAGCUACUGACCUCUCCUUCCCAGGAAGGCAGUGAAGCUACUGAUAUUAAUUAUUUCUUUCAGGAAGAAAAAGUUCACUCAGUCCAGUCCCUUCCUGACAGUUAGGCUCUAUAAUCCCCUUCUUCGACUAGCUCCUUGGAGGGGCUCAUCUGCCAUGAAUCCUUCUAGCGUCCAGGGUCAUGCUCUCCAUGGGCAGUUUUACUGCCAACAUGAGCACUUGUGUGCCGGCUGUUGGCCAUGACUUGUCACAGCUCCUUGCCAGUACCAGAUAAAGGUGCAAAGAGAGGCCUCAGGAAAGUCCACCAGCAGGCUGACAUUCCUCUCAGGCUAAGGCAAGUGCAUUUUGCCAGCACUCCUCUUGUGUUUUGUUUUGUUUUUUUUAAGUGAGGUCAUGGUCUUCAGACUUUCCUGGCUGGCCAGCCAUGAGGAAAGUGUUUAUUCACUAUAUUGCUCAGUACCCUAA
This 466-nucleotide long non-coding RNA is filed under the name Bos taurus (domestic cattle). RNAcentral describes it as "long non-coding RNA NONBTAT002753". Lineage: Eukaryota; Metazoa; Chordata; Mammalia; Artiodactyla; Bovidae. The record is from RNAcentral.